Molecule: long non-coding RNA, 222 nt
Filed under: Populus trichocarpa (black cottonwood)
Lineage: Eukaryota; Viridiplantae; Streptophyta; Magnoliopsida; Malpighiales; Salicaceae
Description: long non-coding RNA (PTRI_LNC003035)
Source: RNAcentral
CCACGUUGAAAACCAUAUAAUUUGAAAGCUAAGCUUCUCACCACUGAGGAUAAUUUUUUUUGUUUUGUUUUUUACUCUUCCAGAAUGUGACAAUUCAUUACAGUAAUCCUGUAAAGCUUAGGAACAUAUAUCUUCCAUUAAUUCGUUGACACUUGAUCCCUGAGAGAGAUGAUAGACUAGUCUGGUCCUCCAUUCUGUAUUUGUGGAGAAGCAGUGUUUAGC